RNAcentral lists this long non-coding RNA (462 nucleotides) under Pan troglodytes (chimpanzee). RNAcentral describes it as "long non-coding RNA NONPTRT018263". The record is from RNAcentral. Lineage: Eukaryota; Metazoa; Chordata; Mammalia; Primates; Hominidae.
CCCAGGUCAUCCUCCCCUUCCUACUAGCCCACCAACCUUCUCUUUCUUGUUCUCCCUCUCUCCCUCCCUCCCUUCCUCCCACUCCCUCUCUUUCUCUCUCUUUCUCGUUCUCUCUCUCCCUUUCUUUCUCCCUUUCACCCAAAGGGUUGCCAUCCUACCUGAAGCAUGCAAGCACCGUGGCAGGCGGGUUCUUCAGCCUCUACCACUUCUUCCAGCUGCACAUGGUUUGGGUCGUGCUGCUCAGCCUCCUGUGCUACCUCGUGCUGUUCCUCUGCCGACAUUCCUCCCAUCGAGGCGUCUUCCUAUCCGUCACCAUCCUCAUCUACUUACUCAUGGGUGAGAUGCACAUGGUAGACACCGUGACAUGGCACAAGAUGCGAGGUAGGUAGCCCUGCCCCUCUCACCUGCCCAACCCCCCUGCCCCACUCCUCGUCUCCUAACUGCCCCCACCCUGUGCCUUUC